UCCCUGGUGGCCUAGUAUUUAGGAUUCGGCACUUCCACUGCCAUGACCUGGGUUCAAUCCCUGGUCAGGGAA
RNAcentral lists this transfer RNA (72 nucleotides) under Ovis aries (sheep). It matches the Rfam family "tRNA". Rfam says of the family: Transfer RNA (tRNA) molecules are approximately 80 nucleotides in length. Their secondary structure includes four short double-helical elements and three loops (D, anti-codon, and T loops). Further hydrogen bonds mediate the characteristic L-shaped molecular structure. tRNAs have two regions of fundamental functional importance: the anti-codon, which is responsible for specific mRNA codon recognition, and the 3' end, to which the tRNAs corresponding amino acid is attached (by aminoacyl-tRNA synthetases). tRNAs cope with the degeneracy of the genetic code in two manners: having more than one tRNA (with a specific anti-codon) for a particular amino acid; and 'wobble' base-pairing, i.e. permitting non-standard base-pairing at the 3rd anti-codon position. Lineage: Eukaryota; Metazoa; Chordata; Mammalia; Artiodactyla; Bovidae. The record is from Rfam by way of RNAcentral.